GAUGAACGCUGGCGGCGUGCCUAACACAUGCAAGUCGAACGGAGUCCAGCCUUUAAGACCUUCGGGUCAAAGAGGGGAAGACUGAGUGGCGGACGGGUGAGUAACACGUGGGCAACCUGGCUCAUAGAGGGGGAUAACAGAGAGAAAUUUCUGCUAAUACCGCAUAAGCACACACUGCCGCAUGGCAGAGGGUGAAAAGAGAAUCGCUAUGAGAUGGACCCGCGUCUGAUUAGCCAGUUGGCAGGGUAAGAGCCUACCAAAGCGACGAUCAGUAGCCGAUCUGAGAGGAUGAACGGCCACAUUGGGACUGAGACCCGGCCCAAACUCCUACGGGAGGCAGCAGUGGGGGAUAUUGCACAAUGGGGGGAACCCUGAUGCAGCGACGCCGCGUGAGUGAAGAAGUAUUUCGGUAUGUAAAGCUCUAUCAGCAGGGAAGAUAAUGACAGUACCUGAAUAAGAAGCCCCGGCUAACUACGUG
Molecule: ribosomal RNA, 478 nt
Filed under: uncultured bacterium
Lineage: Bacteria
Description: partial 16S ribosomal RNA
Rfam family: Bacterial small subunit ribosomal RNA
Source: RNAcentral